AAAGAAGUGAGAACUGGAGUGCAAGAAUUAAAGCAUUUUCUUCUCUUUGACUAAGGUAUCUCUGCAGAUUUGAUUCAACAAGUGAAGAAGAGAGGAAGAAGAAAUACCAUGGAAUUAUAGAGGUUUGGCUUUCCAAGCCAACAUCCACUUUUAAAGACAAUAAGAGGAAUUUAUUCAACAAGAUUUAAGAGGAACAACCAUUCAAGAAUGGACUCUCUCAAAGGAAGAUGAUUUAGCUAAGCUUCUUUUCCAUGCUUUUCUUUCUGUCAACUAUCUGUUAGUUAUGACUAUCAACUGCUUUCUGUUUUGCUUGCUGCUGUUCAUCAGAGAGAGCUUAGAGCUUGAAAACUCAUCAGGUAAUUUGCUUCAACUUUAUAACAAUAUAUAUAGGUAAUAUCUAACCGUAGAAUUUUAUUUUAAAAGAAGCAUGUACAAACUUGACAAGUAAAACGUAUCAAGUAUUGAAUUGUAUGUAAUAGGUAAAAAUUGUCGAGGUUGAAAUAAUCUUGAUUGAUCAUAAAUUUUAAGAAUUUAGAUACUUGAAAUGUAAAACUAGUCAAUUGAUCUUCAUAUACUUGACAUUUAGGACAUAUUAAGUAAAUUAGUAAUUGUCGAAGGCUUUACUAACUUUUUCAAAGGUCACGCGUACCUUCGAUAACAUUUAAAUUAUUCAUCAAAAAAUGUUUAUUAUCAAAUGAUUUUUUUCGAAGGUUUUCAUAAAAUAACUUUUUCAACAAAUGUAUAAAUCUUUUGAAAAUUCUCGCUAAUGAUGAAACAUUGAAUUACAACGUAUGAGACUGACAAUCUACGACAUCAAAAUUACAAUUUCAAAAUGUUGUUAUGUAGAGGCAGAAUCCAAGACUAUCUAACCAACCAUUGAUCAAGAGUUUGAGUAGUACUUUUCAGUGCUUUUGGCAUCCCCUGAUCCUUGAUGUUUAGCAUCUUGAAUUUGAAUGUGUGCGUGUAUGUGUUCUUAGAGGUAAAACAGUUGUAACAUAUAAGCAAUUAUAUGAAAAAUCAACAAUUUCAUUCCCUGGUUGAUUACUCAACAGCCAUGAAACUAAUGAUCAGCAAAUCAAACACACAAAAAAGAGCAACUAUAAGGGGAUAUAAAACAUAGCAAAAUACAGAAUGUUGAUUGAUUAACGAAGGCAGUUAAUAUAAACAUAGCAAAAUAAAAACCUGCUAACUAUUAAUCUUACAAUUUUGCUGCUAGUAUUAGGAGAUUAGGAGAUCAAGUCAUCUCAUUCACAUAAAAAGAUUUCAAACAUAAAAUAAACAAAUUCGUUCUUCAUCUAAAAACCUUACUGUCCUUCAUCUAGUUUAGGAUUGCAUCUUUCUCUCUUCAUCUAAAUUCCUCUAUUGUCAUCUUCUUCACCAUCUUCUUCACCAUCUUCUUGACAACCUUCUAUGAUCAAAGGGGCAUUGUAAUAAUCUAAAUGACACAAUUUAAGGAUUCAUGAAUCCAGCAAAUAACAGACCCAUAAAAUUAGUACAUUUCAAUAGACCAAAUGCUAAAAGUAGCUUUAUACUACUCUAAUCUUCUCCGGAUGUUAUCAAGGAAAGAGCAUGAGCAUGGGACAAAACAACUUUUUCUUUGAUGUCCUAAACAUAAGUUUCCUACAAAUAAAAUUAAAUCUACACUUCAUUAUAUCAGUAGAGAAAGAAAACCUCGCUCCCAAUCAACAAUAUAAAGAAAACCCAUCAAAGCGUAUAAAUAAAAAUCCCUACAACCCAUGAGUUUAAGAAAAGUACCAAGUAAAUUCUGAGUAGAAAACUAGAAUGAAAUCAAUACCAAUCUAGCCCUAAACAACAUCCGUGCAAAACCUGAAUGAAAGAGAUUUUUACUCAAUACUUGUUCUAUUUCCUUGUUUCUAAAUAUGUUCAGUCAAAACCUAGAAAUCACCAUGAUUUUUCUAGUAAUCAAAGGGAGAUUCUCAAAACAAAGUUAGAAAAAACAACAUUUUCCAUGGAAACAAAAGAAGAACGGCUAUAAUCAGUGUAUAAAUAAAAUAAAAUAUGCAUAUGCAAGUGACGUCAACACAAAAGUGAGUCGUUUAGAAAUGCCAUGAAAUUGCAAAAAGGGACUAAAACUAUACAUACAAGGACAACCAGUAAAUAAAACCACAAGGAUUAUCCUUAAAAGUCAUAAUACACAUCUUCCAAACAUAACAUGAACUUGUUAAAAAAAAAUGAAAUAAAUAAACAUUCAACUCUAAUUUUACCUGGAGCCCAUCUUCAUAAUAGAAUUCGAAGUAGGAGGCUCUGAAUCUUCAAUUUUUCUCCAACAACAAUUGAACACACAAAUGAUUUGUACAUAACAUAAACGCAAAUAAUAAUAUAACACAUCUACACUAUUUUGUUUUUCAAAUAAUCUAGGAAAUGCAUGCCUUACAACUUUUUUUGUUAUCCAAGCGUGGGAUUAUAGUAAGCUUUUGCAAUCUUUGAAGGCAUAUCAGAAUGCGUUGCGUGUCUAAAGUAAUAGUUGUGCCCUCAUUCAUUCUAAAUUUCCACAACUUGAUAACUCAACUGUUGAGUUUCAGGUUUAUUUUGAAGUUCUAAAAUUUAUUGAUCUUUAAUAAUAUUUUACAGGAAAAUGAUAAAAAUAAUAUUGUCAAAUCUAGACUUAUAUUUUAAUUGUGCAAACUGUAAGUUAAAUUUCUCUUCCCUUUUUUAGUUUGAUUUGGCUUCUAAUGUGAUUAUUUGCUUUCUACCAUAUUGGUUAUUGCUAUUCAUUCAAUGAAUGAAGUCAGUGUUAGCUUCACAAAAAAAACUUGGUCAUGAUAAGCUUUUCGGCUUGUGUGGUCAAUUGAAGAAUGAUGAUAAAGUAUAUUGUCAAUCAAUGUAGGAAGAGAUUGUGAGGUUUAAUAAGGCCAGUUACUUACAUAGUAGAAUGUGUUUGCAUGCAUAGAGUAUUUUGAGAUUAUGAGCCUAAUUCUUUCUAGUUGAGGUUAACCAAGCAGUGGAAAGAGUGACCUAAUUUUACCAUAACCAAAUGGAUAUUUAGGGCUUUUUAAUUCUUGAGAUGCAAAGUAGCAAUUAGGUUUUUAUUCAAAUCAUCUUAUUAAUCAAAUCAAGAGGAUAAACGUAAAUCAGUUUAUUCAAAACAAGUAGAAAACGAAAUCAAUUACCAGGUCCGAUGAGAUUGACAGAGGACGAAGCAGUGUGAAUAACCACGAGCUUGAAUGGGAAAGAAGGUAGUGUGAUCGAGCUUCGACUGUCGUGCGUGUGGCUAGAGUCAGCCCAUGGAGCAGAAGAAGGUAGCUCAUGAAAGGGAAUCUGU
RNAcentral lists this long non-coding RNA (3283 nucleotides) under Cucumis sativus (cucumber). Its description in RNAcentral is "long non-coding RNA (CSAT_LNC001044)". The record is from RNAcentral. Lineage: Eukaryota; Viridiplantae; Streptophyta; Magnoliopsida; Cucurbitales; Cucurbitaceae.